This 75-nucleotide transfer RNA is filed under the name Dasypus novemcinctus (nine-banded armadillo). Its description in RNAcentral is "tRNA-Arg (CCT) (tRNA-Arg-CCT-11-1)". It matches the Rfam family "tRNA". From Rfam's summary of the family: Transfer RNA (tRNA) molecules are approximately 80 nucleotides in length. Their secondary structure includes four short double-helical elements and three loops (D, anti-codon, and T loops). Lineage: Eukaryota; Metazoa; Chordata; Mammalia; Cingulata; Dasypodidae. The record is from RNAcentral.
GGAAGGGAUGUAGCUCAGUGGUUGAGCACCUGCUUCCUAUGUAUGAAGUCCCGGGUUCAAUCCCCGGUAUUUCCA